GUGGCGAACGGGUGAGUAACACGUGAGCAAUCUGCCCUUGACUCUGGGAUAGCUGCGGGAAACUGUAGCUAAUACCGGAUACUUUCCUCGCUGGGCAUCCAGCGGGGAAGAAAGAAUUUCGGUCAAGGAUGAGCUCGCGGCCUAUCAGCUAGUUGGUGAGGUAAUGGCUCACCAAGGCGACGACGGGUAGCCGGCCUGAGAGGGUGACCGGCCACACUGGAACUGAGACACGGUCCAGACUCCUACGGGAGGCAGCAGUGGGGAAUAUUGCACAAUGGGCGAAAGCCUGAUGCAGCAACGCCGCGCGAGGGAUGAAGGCCUUCGGGUUGUAAACCUCUUUUAGCAGGGAAGAAGCGAAAGUGACGGUACCUGCAGAAAAAGCACCGGCUAACUACGUGCCAGCAGCCGCGGUAAUACGUAGGGUGCAAGCGUUGUCCGGAAUUAUUGGGCGUAAAGAGCUCGUAGGCGGUUUGUCACGUCUGCUGUGAAAAUCCGAGGCUCAACCUCGGACUUGCAGUGGGUACGGGCAGGCUAGAGUGCGGUAGGGGAGAAGGGAAUUCCUGGUGUAGCGGUGGAAUGCGCAGAUAUCAGGAGGAACACCAAUGGCGAAGGCACUUCUCUGGGCUGUAACUGACGCUGAGGAGCGAAAGCGUGGGGAGCGAACAGGAUUAGAUACCCUGGUAGUCCAC
Molecule: ribosomal RNA, 689 nt
Filed under: uncultured Actinomycetales bacterium
Lineage: Bacteria; Bacillati; Actinomycetota; Actinomycetes; Actinomycetales
Description: bacterial SSU rRNA
Rfam family: Bacterial small subunit ribosomal RNA
Source: RNAcentral